UAAUACGUAGGAUGCAAGCGUUAUUCGGAUUUACUGGGCGUAAAGCGCACCGAGGUGGCUUCUUAAGUUGGAUGUAAAAUCUCCCGGCUUAACUGGGAGGCGCCAUUCAAAACUGAGAGGCUUGAGGUCAGCAGGGGAAAGUGGAAUUCCCGGUGUAGUGGUGGAAUGCGUAGAGAUCGGGAGGAACACCAGUGGCGAAAGCGGCUUUCUGAGCUGCACCUGACACUCUAGUGCGAAAGCGUGGGGAGCAAACAGGAUUAGAUACCCUGGUAGUCCACGCCCUAAACGAUGGAUACUAGGUGUGGGAGGUAUUGACCCCUUCCGUGCCGAAGCCAACGCGUUAAGUAUCCCGCCUGGGGACUACGGCCGCAAGGUU
This 376-nucleotide ribosomal RNA is filed under the name uncultured bacterium. RNAcentral's name for it is "bacterial SSU rRNA". It matches the Rfam family "Bacterial small subunit ribosomal RNA", at positions 521 to 895 of the family's 1533-position model. The record is from RNAcentral.